GCCAAGCCUAGCUCAGGCUAUAAAAGGACUUACAGACACUGUAGUUACUUUUUUAGUGUAAGUUAGUAUUUUUCGCACUAUAAAGCGCACUUAAAAUAUUUUAAUUUUCCCAAAAAUUGACAGUGCACUUUAUAAUGUGGUGCCACUCACUGAAGUACAGCGUUACAUAGAAGUUUCAGUGAAGUUUCUCCAGCACAGAGGCUGGAGCAGUGUUAGCAUUAGCAGCUAACCGCAAUGCUAGCUCUUUUGUCGUUCAGAGAUGAUUGAAUUGGUCAGUUACAAGCCAAAUAAAGGUUCUCUGGACAGAGAAAGGAGUCACACAUGGGUGAACCUCAGGAAAGCCUUCUCUAUAUAGCGAGCUAAAAGGAUGACUGGUUUGCUGGAGGGGCACCUGAGGACAGACGCUGUGGGAGCACAGGAUGAAGAAAAAAAAAAAAAAAAGCAGAAGCAGGGGCCAGUAAACCCGGGCCAGCUUUUGCUGAGGCCGUUAGCCACAAUUCACGGAGGCGCUGGAUGUUUCCCACUAGGUUCUGGUCGGCCUGGAGACGGCAACUUAUUAAUCUUGUGAUGGAGGGCCAGCUGCAGCGGUGGCUGUUACCAUCCCACCACCGACCUGCACACACUUUUCUUUUUUUCACCUCUUCCCUGCUUUUUCUCCCUCACUUUUUCUUUUUUUCAGUUUUUUUUUAGAGUGGCUUUAUUUCUGAGCUUCAGUAAAGCUGCACUACGCUUACAUACAGUUCACUACAGAAAAUGACUCAAGAGUAAAGUUUGUUCAUUUACAAGCUAAAAAGCAAAAAAGCUAACAAGUGUCAUCUUUAUGUUUUUGUGUUUUUUUUAUUAUAUUGUAUUUUCUGUGUAUUUUUUUAUAUUCAUC
Molecule: long non-coding RNA, 877 nt
Filed under: Astyanax mexicanus (Mexican tetra)
Lineage: Eukaryota; Metazoa; Chordata; Actinopteri; Characiformes; Acestrorhamphidae
Description: lncRNA (ENSAMXG00005017468.1)
Source: RNAcentral